Cloeon dipterum is the source of this 779-nucleotide long non-coding RNA. RefSeq lists it as uncharacterized. The transcript has 3 exons. The record is from RefSeq and is a predicted model, not a curated record. NCBI's taxonomy places the organism in Eukaryota, Metazoa, Arthropoda, Insecta, Ephemeroptera, Baetidae.
AGGCCAGUGCGAAAAGACUGAAGACUAGAGUUAACAAACUUAUCAAAGGUCAGAAACUGUCCCUCGAAGGAUUUGAGGCCCUCUUGACAGAAAUGCAGUUAGUCACAACAACAGACACUGAAAGAGGAAAAGGGCAACGUAAAAAGAGACCCACCCUGAAGAUGUCAGAAUCUCAGGCUGAAAAGUCGCCGAUGAAAGAAAAAACAAUUCGAAACCAGGUAGAACGUCAAUCUGACGGAGAAGAUGAGGAAAGCCGCAUUGAGGGUCUUCCUCUUGCACCAGAAUCGGCAGAUGAGGAUGGUGAUGAUAUCAAAACAACAUGUGUAAAACCUGAUGACAAGCUAACCAUGAAACUGAAUUCCUCUCACACCAACGUGCCCACAAUAAAUCCAAUUCCAGAAAUUUUCAAACACGUCAUUCAUCUUGAUGAGAAUGAAGGAACUUCAUCUGGCAAGUUUGCAGUUUCACCAUUGAAACCAAAUUCUUGCUAUAAUUAUGGACAACCCUCAAAUAGUGGUGGAUUUCCACAUGACAAAUUUCCAUUGACUACUGAAGCAUUCCAAAAGUUUGUUAUGAUGCAGUUUAUCAAACUGUUUGAAAUGAUGGAGCAACUAAUGAACAAGAACAGGAACACGUACAGACAGCCUAUGGGUAGAGACAUGGUUGUCUUGAGUGAUGAUGAUAUUGGUGCAACCAGCAGUGAUCCAUCUUUUAAACUCAAUAGCUUUGCCCAAUAUGAAGCAUUCACUGCCAAGCUUCAUGAUGGUGAUUUCUUUAGA